AAAGUGAUGUUCCAAGUCAUUUUGAUAUGUUCCUUGCGACUUCUGUAAGUUACUUCUUUUUUACUAGAAACUUCUGUAAGUUGAUUUGUGGCUUUCUUUCAAUUGUUUUACAGCUUGUUUUGUAUGUUUGUUUAUGACAGAAAAGCUCGAAUGAAAGUUUGAGUUAAUGGAUACUGGGGAUUCCCAAACAGCAGAUUAGGAAUGAAUUGGGGAAAGGGUAUGACAUUGUUUUGAGAGUUGACAUUUUGAUUUGUGGCUUUCUUUCAAUUGUUUUACAGCUUGUUUUGUAUGUUUAUGACAGAAAAGCUCGAAUGAAAGUUUGAGUUAAUGGAUACUGGGGAUUCCCAAACAGCAGAUUAGGGAUGAAUUGGGGAAAGGGUACAACAUUGUUUUGAG
RNAcentral lists this long non-coding RNA (396 nucleotides) under Malus domestica (apple). RNAcentral describes it as "long non-coding RNA (MDOM_LNC011314)". The record is from RNAcentral. Lineage: Eukaryota; Viridiplantae; Streptophyta; Magnoliopsida; Rosales; Rosaceae.